Molecule: ribosomal RNA, 292 nt
Filed under: uncultured bacterium
Lineage: Bacteria
Description: partial 16S ribosomal RNA
Rfam family: Bacterial small subunit ribosomal RNA
Source: RNAcentral
GUGUCAGCAGCCGCGGUAAUACGUAGGGGGCGAGCGUUGCUCGGAAUUACUGGGCGUAAAGGGUGUGUAGGCGGCCGAUUAAGUCGAAGAUGAAAUCCCGAGGCUCAACUUCGGAAUGGUCUUCGAUACUGAUCGGCUUGAGGCUGGUUGAGGAGAGCGGAAUUCCCGGUGGAGCGGUGAAAUGCGUAGAUAUCGGGAGGAACACCAGAGGCGAAGGCGGCUCUCUAAACUAGUCCUGACGCUGAGACACGAAAGCUAGGGGAGCAAACGGGAUUAGAAACCCCCGUAGUCC